This 84-nucleotide transfer RNA is filed under the name Bacteroidia bacterium. Its description in RNAcentral is "tRNA-Leu". It matches the Rfam family "tRNA". Rfam says of the family: Transfer RNA (tRNA) molecules are approximately 80 nucleotides in length. Their secondary structure includes four short double-helical elements and three loops (D, anti-codon, and T loops). Further hydrogen bonds mediate the characteristic L-shaped molecular structure. tRNAs have two regions of fundamental functional importance: the anti-codon, which is responsible for specific mRNA codon recognition, and the 3' end, to which the tRNAs corresponding amino acid is attached (by aminoacyl-tRNA synthetases). tRNAs cope with the degeneracy of the genetic code in two manners: having more than one tRNA (with a specific anti-codon) for a particular amino acid; and 'wobble' base-pairing, i.e. permitting non-standard base-pairing at the 3rd anti-codon position. The record is from RNAcentral. Lineage: Bacteria; Pseudomonadati; Bacteroidota; Bacteroidia.
GCAUGCGUGUUGGAAUGGUAUACAAGGCAGGUUUAGAACCUGUUGCCUUCGGGAUUAAGGGUUCAAAUCCCUUCGCAUGCACCA